GUGCGAGACCGAUAGCGAACAAGUACCGUGAGGAAAAGAUGAAAAGAACUUUGAAAAGAGAGUUAAAGAGUACCUGAAACUGCUGAAAGGGAACCGAAUCGUAUCCAGUGUCUAUAAUCCAUGGCAUAUUUCAUUGGCGAGUGAGUGCGUGCAGCGUUUUGGAAGUGGUUUUCCGCUCCUGUCGUUGUUGUGCAUUUGCUUGCUGGUGCCCUGUGCUGUGGUGGGACGUCAGAGUCAGUUUGUAUGUUGCGGGAAAUGGUUAUUGGGGAGGUAGGUCACUUCGGUGGCUGUUAUAUCCUGGUAACUAGUCGUCGUGGCUGAGACUGAGGUGCCUACAAUGUGCUUUCGAGUGUGCGGGAUUCUCGUGUGGCUGUUUGCUUUGAUAGCUUGCUAUGUUGGUGAAUAAGUCGUGCGAUUGAGACUUGUAUUAACUUGUUGCUGUUCGGGACUUUG
Molecule: ribosomal RNA, 453 nt
Filed under: uncultured Oomycota
Lineage: Eukaryota; Oomycota
Description: LSU rRNA
Rfam family: Eukaryotic large subunit ribosomal RNA
Source: RNAcentral